Molecule: transfer RNA, 75 nt
Filed under: Triticum aestivum (bread wheat)
Lineage: Eukaryota; Viridiplantae; Streptophyta; Magnoliopsida; Poales; Poaceae
Rfam family: tRNA
About the family: Transfer RNA (tRNA) molecules are approximately 80 nucleotides in length. Their secondary structure includes four short double-helical elements and three loops (D, anti-codon, and T loops).
Source: Rfam by way of RNAcentral
CAAGGUGUAGCGCAGUCUGGUCAGCGCAUCUGUUUUGGGUACAAAGGGACAUAGGUUCGAAUCCUGUCACCUUGA